UUUCCGUAGGUGAACCUGCGGAAGGAUCAUUAUUGAAUAGCGGAGGUGCGAGGGCUUUCGCUUACCCGAAAAGUCGGGCACGACCGACAGCGCUGACACAUCUCCAUCUAGCCCCUACGUCCAACACCACGUAUGUCCCCCUUUUUCUUCUGCGGAAGGUGGUGUACGUAUUAACUCAAACUUUAUAUUCCGUGUACGAUGUAUUUUUUGUUUUUGCGAUCACACAAUCAAUCCAACUUGCAACAACGGACCCCUUGCCUCACUCACCGAUGAAGAACC
RNAcentral lists this unclassified non-coding RNA (279 nucleotides) under plant metagenome. RNAcentral describes it as "partial contains small subunit ribosomal RNA, internal transcribed spacer 1, and 5.8S ribosomal RNA". The record is from RNAcentral.